CAUGGCUCAGGAUGAACGCUAGCGGCAGGCCUAACACAUGCAAGUCGAGGGAGAAGCCUUCGGGCUAAGACCGGCGCACGGGUGCGUAACGCGUAUACAAUCUGCCUUUUAUCCGGGGGAUAGCCCGAAGAAAUUUGGAUUAAUACCCUAUGGUAUAAGAGCACGGCAUCGUGCACUUAUUAAAGCUACGGCGGUAAAAGAUGAGUAUGCGUUCUAUUAGCUAGUUGGAGAGGUAACGGCUCCCCAAGGCGACGAUAGAUAGGGGUUCUGAGAGGGAUGUCCCCCACACUGGUACUGAGAUACGGACCAGACUCCUACGG
RNAcentral lists this ribosomal RNA (320 nucleotides) under uncultured bacterium. Its description in RNAcentral is "bacterial SSU rRNA". It matches the Rfam family "Bacterial small subunit ribosomal RNA", at positions 18 to 344 of the family's 1533-position model. The record is from RNAcentral.